Molecule: long non-coding RNA, 1059 nt
Organism: Triticum dicoccoides
Lineage: Eukaryota; Viridiplantae; Streptophyta; Magnoliopsida; Poales; Poaceae
Exons: 2
Source: RefSeq, a predicted model, not a curated record
CCAUAGCCAUGGUGCGCCCCCUUCCUCCCUAUUGCUCCUUCUCGAGGAGUCCACUUCGGACACGGAUCCGGCCAACCCCAUCCAGGCUACCUACAGUGGCGGCGUCAGAAAAUGAAGGCUGGUUUCAAGAUGAAGAUAUUUUUUUCGUCGAUGCCGGCAACAGUAUUGUGUGCAUAUAUCAGAACGGACGAAGCAACCUAUUGAUCAGGUCUCUUUUAUAUCCCCACACAUAUUUUUUGUCAUAUCUUAUCUAUUUUGUCCAAUUGUUCCACAUUGAGUUCUAGUUCUACUCAUAUUGUGUAUUCGAACAAAAGAAUAGGCUUUACCAUGAGGUAUUUCUUGGGUAGGUAUGCGACUUUUUCAAGAUAGUUCUUCAGUUAUAUGUUUUUUCUUCAAAUUUUGAGCCAACAUGUUGAUUUCCGCCCCGGGCCCCCAAAUUCCUGGAGACGGCCCUGCGCAUGCGGCAGUGGAGCCUGGCCCUCUGCCGCUGGAGCAGCAAAGGCUGUGGUGGUGCAGUGCACCGCGACUCUGCGUGCAGUGCAGUAGGCGUGUGCCCCCUCGAGUACCUUGCAGUAUUGAGGCGUCAGCGAAUUCUUCUCCGUCGAGGACUUGCAGCUCGCCGGCGAGUGGCUCGUGGUUCACGCAGCUUGGGCGUGCAGUCCACUGCUCCGUCCAUCCUUCCCGUGCUCGCCAGCUCAACUCAGUGCACGACAAGCACAUGCGUAGUCCACUUAUCCCCUGCUCGCGGUCCUUUCCCCUACUUCGAACGUCAAAAGGGAAAGAAGAUGUUCAAAGGCGGCGGCGACGACCUGGAAGAGCAGUAUCCACCCAAUUGCCCCAUUUAUCAAUUUUCUUCUUGUUGGAAAUUACACUUCAUUGUAAAAACUGCAUUUCAUUACCAUGAUGGUGUGAUUAGCCUUCACGUAGGCUGCAGUUUUGUCUUAGUGCAAGUGUAGCCCGUAGAAAUUUUUUGAGUUUGGCUGAUGGAGAGUGUAGAUUUUCUAUAUGUGUGUCUGUAUGUGUAAAACAAUCAGAUAGAUUUGUAUGCUUUGAAGCUCA